CUGGUUUUGAUACAGAAUGAUCAUAAAAAAUAAUGUGUUGUGAUUGCGAAUGAGACAACUCUUCACAAGAGACCAAAUGACAAAUAUAUUAACAACUAUAGGUCAUCGUAUAUGCUUCAACAACGGACAAAGUUGUUACCGCAUAGAAAGCAGUGAAAGGCCCCGAAGUGACAAAUGUAAAACAAUUCAAAUGAAAAAGCUUUUGUGCGUCACUGAUCAAUCUUUUGUAGACAAAACGCACGUCUGGCGUCAAUACAAAAACUUAAUCCUGGUAUCUAUGAUGAGUAUAAUUAUGUACAUAACAUGAAAGCAAAACCAAAUGUGUAACACAACAACAAACGACAACCACUGAUGUACAGGCUCCUGACUUGGGACAGGCACAUAAAUUCAUACAUAAUGUGGCGAUGUUAAAAUAUGUUAGAAGAAUAAAAUUCCCUCUCCUAACCUGGGACAGUUCUGAAACAGUACAACACAAACAUGAACUGUAAUAAUUAGUCGAAAAGAGAUCAACUCAUCCUUUCAUUAAAUAGAUACAAAUAGAAAUACCACUGACAACAACACAGAGGGGACGUGAUCGGGUACUUUCAUAGCUUUUUAAAACACUUCUGAAACCAGCAAUUCGUGUCAAUUGCCCGUUUUCAUGUAAAAAGUAAGGUUAAAUCAUAUAAAUUAACAUGAAACACAUUUAGAAAAGAGUAAAAAAUAAUGUUCAUUGGUUUUAGAAAUCCUGCCUUUACGGUCUGAAACAGAGAGGGUACAAAAGGGAACAUUUCAACUCAUGAGUCGAAAAUACACUGACAAUGACAUGGUCAAAAAGGU
This 819-nucleotide long non-coding RNA is filed under the name Mytilus galloprovincialis (Mediterranean mussel). Lineage: Eukaryota; Metazoa; Mollusca; Bivalvia; Mytilida; Mytilidae. The record is from RNAcentral.